CCUACGGGAGGCAGCAGUGGGGAAUAUUGCACAAUGGGGGAAACCCUGAUGCAGCAACGCCGCGUGAGUGAUGACGGCCUUCGGGUUGUAAAGCUCUGUCUUCAGGGACGAUAAGGACGGUACCUGAGGAGGAAGCCACGGCUAACUACGUGCCAGCAGCCGCGGUAAUACGGAGGUGGCGAGCGUUGUCCGGAUUUAAUGGGCGUAAAGGGAGCGUUGGCGGACUUUUAAGUGAGAUGUGAAAUAUUCGGGGUCAAAUUGCGCGCUGCAUUUCAAACUGGAAGUCUAGAGUGCAGGAGAGGUGUAUGGAAUUCCUAGUGUAGCGGUGAAAUGCGUAGAGAUUAGGAAGAACACCAGUGGCGAAGGCGAUUCUCUGGACUGUAACUGACGCCGAGGCUCGAAAGCGUGGGGAGCAAACAGGAUUAGAUACCCUGGUAGUC
RNAcentral lists this ribosomal RNA (440 nucleotides) under uncultured bacterium. Its description in RNAcentral is "partial 16S ribosomal RNA". It matches the Rfam family "Bacterial small subunit ribosomal RNA", at positions 338 to 795 of the family's 1533-position model. The record is from RNAcentral.